Molecule: transfer RNA, 79 nt
Filed under: Candidatus Nitrosarchaeum limnium BG20
Lineage: Archaea; Thermoproteati; Nitrososphaerota; Nitrososphaeria; Nitrosopumilales; Nitrosopumilaceae
Description: Candidatus Nitrosoarchaeum limnia BG20 tRNA-Pro
Rfam family: tRNA
About the family: Transfer RNA (tRNA) molecules are approximately 80 nucleotides in length. Their secondary structure includes four short double-helical elements and three loops (D, anti-codon, and T loops).
Source: RNAcentral
UGGGGACGUAGGUUAGCUUGGUAUACUGCCAGCCUCGGGUGCUGGAGAUCGUGGGUUCAAAUCCCAUCGUCCCCAUUAU